UCGAACGCGAAAGUCCCGCAAGGGAUCAGUAGAGUGGCAAACGGGUGCGUAACGCGUGGGCGACCUACCUCUGAGUGGGGGAUAACCUAACCGAAAGGAGGGCUAAUACCGCAUGACAUCCCGUGUUUGGAUACACGGACAUCAAAGCCGGGGAUCGCAAGACCUGGCGCUUGGAGAGGGGCCCGCGUCCGAUUAGCUAGUUGGUGAGGUAACGGCUCACCAAGGCUCCGUUCGGUAUCCGGCCUGAGAGGGCGGACGGACACACUGGGACUGAGACACGGCCCAGACUCCUACGGGAGGCAGCAGUGGGGAAUUGUUCGCAAUGGGCGCAAGCCUGACGACGCAACGCCGCGUGGAGGAUGAAGACCUUCGGGUCGUAAACUCCUUUCGACCGAGAUGAAUUCCCGCCGGCCUAACAUGCCGGCGGGGUGACAGUAUCGAGGGAAGCAGCCCCGGCUAACUCCGUGCCAGCAGCCGCGGUAAUACGGGGGGGGCAAGCGUUGUUCGGAAUUACUGGGCGUAAAGGGUUCGUAGGUGGCUUGUUAAGUCAGACGUGAAAUCCCUCGGCUCAACCGGGGAACUGCGUCUGAGACUGAUGAGCUCGAGUGCAGGAGAGGAACGCGGAAUUCCAGGUGUAGCGGUGAAAUGCGUAGAUAUCUGGAGGAACACCGGUGGCGAAGGCGGCGUUCUGGACUGCAACUGACACUGAGGAACGAAAGCCAGGGGAGCAAACGGGAUUAGAUACCCCGGUAGUCCUGGCCCUAAACGAUGAAUGCUUGGUGUGGUAGGUAUCGAUCCCUGCCG
RNAcentral lists this ribosomal RNA (804 nucleotides) under uncultured Bacteroidota bacterium. Its description in RNAcentral is "bacterial SSU rRNA". It matches the Rfam family "Bacterial small subunit ribosomal RNA", at positions 62 to 843 of the family's 1533-position model. Lineage: Bacteria; Pseudomonadati; Bacteroidota. The record is from RNAcentral.